This 632-nucleotide unclassified non-coding RNA is filed under the name Hevea brasiliensis (rubber tree). The record is from RNAcentral. Lineage: Eukaryota; Viridiplantae; Streptophyta; Magnoliopsida; Malpighiales; Euphorbiaceae.
AGUGAAUCCCCCACCUUUCUUCUUUCUCAAAACGUGACCUAGACUAUUGACAAAAAAAACGUGACCUAGACGCUUCUUCGUUCUUCCUCAGCGCUCCUUUCUCUUCCUCUCAGAGCCACUCAUCACUCGUCCCUUUGGCCUUCUCUCCAUUCCUUCUCUUGAAUCCUUCUCCCUCUUGACACUUACCUCUUGUCUCGAAUCUCAACCCCCUUCCCAUUGUGCACUCCGGUAUAUCAUGGGUCCCCAUCCCUCAUUGUUCCAAACUCGAUUCCUUCUGUCGAUCUCUGGCUGUGGUGGUUUACUUCAGCUCAUGGGUCUCCAUCCCUCGAUGCUUAAUGUCUGGUUAUGGCAGAACGCUUGCGUGUUGUCUUAGAUGCAUGUUGAAUCUGUGGUGGUUUUUGUUUGCCGAAGACUAGCGACUCCAUUCCUACCAAUCGAUGGGUCAGUAACUGUAAAUACUCUUUAUUUCAUUGUGGAUUUUGUCAUUUUGUGUAUAUUUUUUGGUGUUUAGUUGUUGAAAUUUCUUGGGUUCAAUUGUUACUUGAUGAUUGUAUAAUUUGUAAUCCGUAUUGGAGAUAUCAAGUUGAUAAAAUUAACUGAAAAAAAGAGUAUUUACAGUUACUGACCCAUCG